This 34576-nucleotide long non-coding RNA is filed under the name Cucumis sativus (cucumber). Its description in RNAcentral is "long non-coding RNA (CSAT_LNC002743)". The record is from RNAcentral. Lineage: Eukaryota; Viridiplantae; Streptophyta; Magnoliopsida; Cucurbitales; Cucurbitaceae.
AAAUUUCCAAUCAUAAUAUAAUAAGCAAUAGAAAAACCAAUGCCUAAGAAUUACCACUUUUAGUCAUUGAUCCCACAUUGAUCAGCCAACACACUAAUAUGAAAUAGCUAUGAAUGAGUCUUCAGUACGUCAACUUUUAUCGAGAAUAACUUUUGAAUUAUCUGAUAAAACAUUCAAUUUAUUUUAUUUGACAGUUUAGUCGUCAAAUAUAUAAACUGCUUCAUUAUUACGUUAGAAUUAAUGAAAUCUUGAAGGCAAGGACUAAAACAUGCACUUUAUAAGAGUUUAGGACUAAAAUAUAUAUGUUUUUAAAGGUCCAAAAUACAACAAGAUACAAAAUUUAAAAAGUAAAAUAAAAUUUAAACCUUCUUAUCAUUAAUUACAUAAUUAAUCAAUACUUAAAUGAAUAUAAUAUACAAAAUUAAAAUUUAGAGACUAGUAGCCACUAAUUUAAAAUCUAAAGACUAAGCUUGAAAGGUAACAUAUUCAUAACACUCGUAAGUACUAAGGAUAAGAGCUUUCGUGUUCAAAACUCGCACUUUCAAUUUGUAAUAUAUAUGUAUAUAGGACAAGAGAUUUCGUGUUCAAAACUCGCACUUUCAAUUUGUAAUAUAUAUGUAUAUAUGUAUGAUCUAUUGGUUACUAACAUUUUAAUAAACUAAUAUAAUAUAAAUUAUCAUAAAUAAAUACGUAAAUAAUAAAAUUAAAAGGAUAAAAAUAGUCUAGUACAUCUUACAUUACACUCAUGUUCGUUCAAUCAUCUAGAUUUCUUGAUAAUAAGUCUACCACAUGAGACAGACCAUUCUUAUUGUCUUCUUUCUUGCGCUCUCUCUAAACACACAAAACAUGGUAAAAUGCACUAAAGAAAAACUCAAAAUAAAAUAAACCCAUCUCCUAAAAACACAUGCCCACUUCAAAGAUAUAUUACUCCAAUAAAUUUAGUUUCCAAUCCACGAGCCUUCAUGGACCUGAAGGUUAUAAUAUUACUAACCGCGGCACUCUGGGGGACUUGGGAUGCCACAUUUGGAAGGCAGAGCCAAAGCAAUGGUUGCAUUAAUCCCAGCGGAUGGGAGGAUGGAUUUGAGGUUGCACAAACACUUGAGGUCGGCAGAACGAAGAACUGAACAACAACGUUCUGUUGGCGGUUGCAGCGGUUUUCCAUGCAAAGGAGCCACUGCUGGUCGGCACACACACAGCUCCUUCGUGUCAACCUUACACAAAAGAGUGGCGGUAGUCUCCGCUAAAACCAUGACUAAGAAUAAUAAUCUUAAAAAUAACGCCACCGAAGACUUGUUGUUUGUCAAUAUCAUCGCCAUUGUUUGGAAAACAAAAAUUUUAAAAAGGAAUGAACUUGUGUAAGUUUGAUAAGUUAUGAUCAAAGGGUGGUGAGUUGGGAUGGUAUGGAUCAGGAAGGGUUUUUAUAGGUAGGGACUUCGAAGGGAAAAGUUUAGACUUUUGAGGUUUGUUCUUAUUAUAAUUAUUAACUUUCCCUAGGUGUCCGUUUUUGGGGUCACGGGUUGGGAUUGGAUUUCUACCCUCUUUGAAAAUCUGUCUAUUUUGGUCCCGUAUUUAAAUAAACAACUGCAAAGUUGUGCUACCAAACACAAAUACUUCAUUGAGGUACUAAAGUAUUCGUAUCAAAUUUGUAUUUAAAUACUGAAUUUCAAAUGCAGCUCAGUUUCAUAUGCAAGUGAAGUGAUCUCGAAAUGCUCAUAUAAAAACAUACGAGUGGGGGCACAUCUUAUAGAAUGAGAUUGUAUAAGACCAAAACAUAAAAUAUUCACGUUUACUUUAUAUAACAAUAUUGUUUACUGUUUAAGGCGCCUCACAUACUAUAGGGUUUAGAGUUUAAUUUGAGUAAUAGUUUAAAUGGUCUAUACUAUAGGAUAAGGUUGGAUGCCUCAUUCUAUUAUGGGAACACUGUGGAUGUACACUAGAAGAAAAACCCUCUACUAUGCCAUUUAUUUAUAUCACAAAAUAGAGGGAGGAAAAAAAAAUGUCACGAAAGGGAAAAAAACGCGUUUUUGGCGGGAAAAGACGGAAAUUUUCGGAAAAUAUUUUUCGCGACAGUUAUUUGAUGUCAUAAAAUAGAAUUAAAAUAAUAAUAAAAUAAUAUAUUUAAUAUAAAAAAAUAAUAACUUUUUUAGGGAUUUUUAACUUAUUCCCUUCUCCCCUUUCCCCUUUCUUUCGUCUUUCUCCCCUUUUGCCUCCCCUUUCUGCUUUCUCCCCUUUCGCCUCCCCUUUCAGAUUUCUUCCCUUUCGCCUCCCAAUCUUCGAACUCCUUGAACUCCCUUCUCCAGACGACGACGAGGUCCAUCAUCGGCACUGCCCCCUCGUGGCCAUCUCCCCACUCCAACGCCGCCUGUACCUCUUCUACUACACGACGAACGGGCUACGACCACUCUUUGGAGUCUACCAUUGAAGCCUCCAAAUCUCGCCUUUCUCAGAUUCGUUCCACCUCUUAUCCUCAUUUCCAAAAGGCAAUUGUAAUUUCUUCAUCCCUUAUUAUUACUUGAAUAAAGCUUUAGGCUAUUUGCUAGAUUGCAUUUGAAUAAAGCUUUAGGCUAUUUGCUAGAUUGCAAAGUGGUUUCUGGAUACAAAAUCCCAUGGUCGAAAUUUAAGAAGAAUCGAGUUCUUGCUCCUGCCGAUUUUUUCAAUUAAACUUGAAACUCAAUUCUCAACAUUGCAUCUAAGAUAUGUUCUUCACAAAUUUUUGUAUUUAUUCCUUAAUUUUUCUAGAUUUCUGGCUGCCACUAAGUAAAUGAAUAUUCUUUCUUUUGUGUUGCCCACCAAUUGUUUGAUGAAAUGCCCAUGGGAGGAAAUCUUGAUUAUUGAAUGUACAUAGGAGGAAAUCAUUUUAGAAUGUUAUUAUAGUGGAAUCCUGGUGAACUAGAUAUUAUUUUAAUGGUUCUAAUUUUAUUAGUGGGGAUAAGACCCUUUGAAUAAAAUUUUGAUUAGUUAAAACAUAAUCAUAAUUCUUUAUGAUUAGUUAUCAUGUUUUUUCUUGGAGAAUAUUGACUUUUUGUUGAUACUUAAAUCAUGUUCUUAGUGAUUGUGCUAGUUCCUUCCCAUUUCCCUACUCCCUCUCUCUAGUGUGUGUGUUUGCUUUGAUCAAUUAAUGUGGUACAUAUCUGGUGGUAUUUUAUUUAGGUUUGUGAUUUUGGACUUUCAGGCUUGAAGUCCUUUAUCAAACUCCUUUUAAAGGUAAAGUUUGUUGUAAACUCUUUUGAAAAGAUCCAUUUGUAAAAGGUUAGAUUCACAUAUUUGACACAAUUCUUUUCAAUUGAGAUCCUCUUUAUGGUUCUCCCCCAACAUGGAUCACUUAGCGGUGUCAAGCAUUGUUCCUGGUGGUUCAUUACCUAAUAUAUUUUUCCCAAAGAUGCAUGCCAAGUGCGAGAUUUUCUGUUAGUAUUAUUUUAUGAUCCCAAUAGUCUCUCUCUUGAGAAAUGAGAAUAUUGAUCUGGAAGUAUAAAUUCUAAUUGCCCAUAGUAUAGAUCCCAAUGUAUAUCACUUUUAUCGAGACUAGAUGUUGUCUUCCUAUUACCACUAUUUAUGAAACUGAUAUGACAAUGAAAGUUCUAAUGGACCAGUUGAGACAUAGGAUAUAAAUAAUGCAACUUUAUAGAUCACAGAGAAAAAUUAUUUCAUCUUAUAAGUUAUAUUAAGUUGAAGGUAGUGGCUCUCUUAUCUUAACCUUUUUUAGCAAAGGAAAAAAAGGAAAGAAAAACCCAAAUCAAUAUCAUCAACCAUGAACCCCAUAAAGUCAUUUUACGUACACUGAAAAAGUUGCAUUCAAAAUGGCUUGGGUCUAAGUUGAAGAUAUUACAAAGAGCAAUUUCUAAAUUGGCAAUAUGGUUGUAAUGCAGCCACAAGCGAGUUGGAAUAUGCAUUUGUUGAGGUACUUUUUUUAGAUUAUUUUUUAUUCUUGUUUUUUUAUUCUUUCUAGUACUUCGGCAAAAUGCUCGUUAUUGUUUUGCAGUGCAAAAACUUAAUUGCUGACGUUGGGGAUAUGAUGAGCGUCCAAGUGAUUGUUGAAGGAUCAAUGAAUAGUUUGAACCCCUACUUCUCAAGCUCUUGGCGACGGGACUUCGUUGUAAGUGUUCUUCUAGUAAACAACCACAACACAAUUUUUAAAUAUUAUCUAUGCUGUUUUCAUUUUUCCCAUCAAAUCAUGAUUCAUGAUUGCCACUUUUACACUUUUUCAUGGAAGAAUAUGUUGUUCUUAUUAUAGAUGGAACUAUUGUAUAAUGGAAUGCCCAAUAACAAGACCUCUACAUUUAUAUCUAUGUUAUCUCUCUCUCUCUUUUUGUUCUUUUUAUCCCGAUGAUGUAUUCUUAAAUUUUAUCUUUCAUUGACAACAUAUGUCUUGUGUCAGAGGGGUUUCAUUCUGGAUAUGGGCGUACACUUCAUUGCUGGAUUACGGAUGGUAACUGCCUUUGAAACUUUUUUCCUGUGAGAAAAAUAUUUGAGUUCUAUCCUAAUGGCUAUCACUUGCCCACUGAUUAACCAUUACUGUUUCUGCUCUUCUUUAAGUCCAAAAUGUUUAUAAUCUCAAAAUUGACAAAACCUAUAAAACCAGUACAAGUCUCAAGUACAUAAGAUGAGGUGGUGAUGAAUUACAAGCGUGACUGUCGCAAAGGCUCUGAUUUGUGGAAGAAGAAAAAACCACCUUUAGUCAUGCAUGGCAUUUAUGUUCCCUCCCCGAUGGCACCAUCCUUGAUAUGAUAUUCUUAAUUUGGAAAUGCUAGUUUCUUGUAUUUGUAAACAACUUGUUGGAUGUGAGGUGGUAUCAGUUUCAGCGACUACCUCCUAUGUGGAUAAGUCUUUACCUCCGCCAGAUAACAUAUCCUCGCUCUUGUAAGUUUCAAUUGCUUACUGCUAAUUAAUGAGUCACCAACAAGUUUGAAAACCUAGAAAUUAAGAAUGAGACAUUUUCCCCUCCUUUAGCCAACUGGAGAAUGGAUGUUCUGGUGUUUUCGUAAUGGUGUUUCUACUUGAUUUACAUCGUAAGCAGUUUUCUUUUUUCCAGGUUAAUCUUGUAAGAACUAAAGAAAACUUACCAAUAUUCGUUCUGCUUGCAAAGAUGAAAAUGUGAAGCUAUCUCCACCUCGACUUGUAUGUUAUUUCUACAUUGAGUUCCAAUUGUAUAUAUUUUAGUGUAUUGUGAAUUCGGUAUCCAAGAUGUAGAAUUCAGCUCUAGAACGUCAGGACACGAGUAGGUUGAAAAACUUUAUUAGCUUUUCCUAAGUAUGAUUACUCACAAUAACAUCUAAUUUUAAACUUAAAUGCAGAGAUGAGUCUUGAAGAAGUGAUAAGAUAUGUUGCAUCUGAUGAACUUAUUAAGGUAGUUUAUGCUUUAUUCAAUCAAAUUGUCUUUUCCAUCUUCAUUUUCUUUGGAAAUUCUUGCCAAUGUACUCAACUCGUAAUAUUCUGAUGCAAAAACUACACACUUAAUUAUUGCAUUGUGCUAAGACCAUAUUGAAAAAAAAAUGCAGCAAAAUAGAAAGGAAAAGAAAUUUCAAGAGGUAACUUAUGGAAGCUCAUUUGGGACUUCCAUGUCCAUGAAAUUACAACAUUAGGUAGAUGUCAUUUAUCUUGUUUGUUAAUUUCCAAUUUCUUUUCUUGGGGUUUGUAGGCUACUUUGGUUGAUUCCUUUCUAGCAGAUCUUGAUGAACUCUCUGAUGAACUUCUCCAUGUAAAUGAAGUAAUAAUUUUGUUGGUUGUGUGUGAGUGAAGUCUUUAAUUUGUUUGAUUUAGUUUAGUGGCUUUAAUUUGUUUUGUUAAUUUGAUGGCUUUAAUGGUUGUAAUGUUUUGCUUAUUUCUUUUAGCCUCUCACUUUUAAAAAAUUGUUUGUUUCAUUUCCACCACUCAAGUCAGGUAAAUGGAUUGAGUUAAGUUACAAGACUCUGCACGAAUUUCUCAUAAUACUUAGUUAUCCAUAUACAAAAUUUAGGAUACCUAUAUUAUAGUGUACUUCAGGAAGCUAAUGAAGCAUUUAAUUAUUUAUGUCUCUUUAGGAGUCUCACAUGUAACUUAAGAAUUGAGUAAUUAGUCAGUUGACUUCCUUACUUGUUGAUGAUGCAAAAACUAUACAACUUUUUCUUCUAUUCCUUUCAAUUUGUAUUGAACAAAUGGAGAAUCUUACAAGGGUAUUCUUUGUCACGUGCCACAUAGGAUAAUGUUGGGCACUUCAUUCUAGUAACAAGCUCUAGCCCUAAAUUGUUGCAAGCCAGCAAUGAAUGGUACAUUGAUAUAUGUAUGUUUUGACACGAACCCCUUCAGUUGCCCAAUCAUCUGCAUUCCACAAACUGGUAUAUAUUCUUAUUCAUUGCUUGUUAGGAAAAGCUAUUCCUUGAUUAUCGUAGUUGCGCAAAACUCUGAUUGAAGUGCAAUUUGGCUAACUGCAUUUCAGGCCUUUUUUUUGUCAUGAACCUGAGUACUUGCUAUAAUCUUACUCUCUGUUUUAAUAAUCCGAGAGAAUUGGUGCAUAAUUAUUCAUAGUUCAUAGAUUUGUGAUGAUUGUCUAAUACAAACUCUUGAGCUUUAAGGACUAGGAAUUGUCAUAGCUUUUUUGUUGUAAGGACUAGGAAUAAGGAUAUAUUUGUGAUAUUGGCUUUCCAUUUUUCACUCUUUGAUGAUUUGUUAUUAAUCAAUUUUAGUGGUUAUAUAUACUAAAACAAACUAUUGAAUUGCAAUGAUAGGUAAUGCUCAAUGUUGAAAUUUUCUAUAAGAGUUGUACUCUCUUGUCCUAUCAUGGAUGCUUAUAUUCAUGUUGUCUUUGUAGGUUCAACUGGAGUCGACAACUUCAUGAGUUUUCUUUCAAAGAACAUUUCCAGAGACGAACAUUCUCGGUUGGUCGUUUAUGCUUCUGCAUAAAAUCUUGUUAGAUGUAUUCUAAUGCUAUUUAAAAUAUUUUUUGAUUAAGGGCUAGGAUUCCGUACAUGUGGAUUGUUGAAACUUGUAUGGAGAUGUACAAAUAUUAUAAAUUGUAUUAUAGUGUAUAUAUAUUAAAGUGUUGGCUAUUUUUUUCUACAUGGGUGUCAAUAUUAUAAUUCAAAAUUGUCAUUCUCAGCUACAUUAUUGUCAUUCAAAUGGUUCGUGUAAUGGUGGAGCGGCAAGGACAACAGGAAAAAACGUAGUAAAUUGAGAAAUGUGCAACAUGAAAUAAAUGACGUAAUAAAUGAAUUUGUGACAGUUAUUACUUGUUGUAAAUUGGAGAACGAUGAUAUUUAACAAAAUAAAUUGUCACGAUUGCCCUAUAUGUGACAGAAUAAAAUGUCGUCAAUAGAUAAACAAUGACAAUUUUUUUUUAAAAGAACUGUCACGAUUGCAAUAUAUUUGACUGCAAAAAAAUGUCGUCAAUAGCAAAACAAUGACAUUUUUAAAAAAAAAAAACUGUUGCGAAUAACAUAUUCAUGACAAUUAAAAAAUGUCACAAUAAAUGAAUUCGUGACAUUUAUUUAACCGUCGUUAAUACACAAAUGAUGAUAGUUAUUUGUUGUCAUAAAAUAAAAUAUGACAGUUAUUUGAAGUCGUUGAAUGUUGAUUAACGACAUUUAUUUCAUGUCAUAAAAUAACCUAUUGCGACAGUUUUUAAAAACUGUCGUCGAAGGACUUUCCAUGACUCCCGCUUCUAUGACUGAAAAUAACUGUCGUGAAAUUUGUUUACGACAGUAAAUAACUGUCGUCGUAGACCACUUUUCUACUAGUGGUAGCUCACUAAUUUGUAUUUAGUACAAGCGAAGUGAUCUCAAGAUGCUCAGGUAGAAACAUGUGAGUGCAGACAUUCUAUAGAAUGAGAUUGUAUAAGACCAAACCAUGAAAUAUUCACUUUUACUUUAUAUAACAUCGUUUACUGUUUAAGACUACCUAUUUUCUACUUUCUGAUGACCAAAGUUACUCAACCUUAAUUCUGAGCUAACUAUGAACUUUUGUUCACACUAGAUUCUUCUUAGAUUUACAUAUAGGUGAGGGCAGAUCAUCAACAUUGACCCAAUAAACCUUCCAUUUUAGAGGUAAGAUCAUAUGGAUAGUUGAGGACGCUUAGGGUGCUAGACAAAAUUCACCCUAGCCUCCCUUUUAGAGUUAGAAGAUAGAUUGUUCCUUUAAGUCCUUACUCCAAUUCUUGAACAAAUGGGUUCACCGUCUCAUUGGCCCAGAUGGAUUCAAUUUAAUUGUAGGACUAUAAAUCAAUUGUUUAUUAGAGGAUCAAUGAACGUUUAAGGAAUAGAUUGUAAUUUUAAAGGUAAAACGAUAAAUUGACCCAACCGAGAUUAUGAAUAACCUGUAAAGAAUUGAUUUACUCAUCAUGAUUAUAUCAGGUGGACACAAAUAUAUCUACAGUGAGAGAGUACAACUACAGGCUAUAGUGGACAGUCUUAAUUAGUUAACAAAUGUUGGUUAACUCAGUUAAAAGAAUUUAGUCAAUUGAUCUCGAAUCUGAGCCUCUUGAUAUGUAGGUUCAUUAAGUCACCCUACCAAUUCACUACGGAAAUAAACUUAGAAUAGUGUGAUUAAGACGUUUGAAUUGUUCAAAUUAGUUAAAAAAUAUAUCUCCUUGGUAAUAAUUGAUAUAAUUAAGGAUUGCUAGAGAAAUUGUGUUUAAAUAAGGAUUGAAAUAUCCGAAAUUCGAGUAGGGAUUUGAACUAAAUCAAUGGGAUGGAUCAAAAUUCACAGUGGAAAAUAAUAAUAUAAUAUUAAUUAAUAUAAUUAUUUAAUUAAAUAAAUAAAUCUUAGAAUGUCAAAUAGUUUUGUGUUUGGAAAUUCAUUUUUAUGAUGUCAAAACUGUUGACUUUAUGGGUUAGUGGAUUUUUUCCAACUUCUAGUGCAAAGGAUGAACAAGCUGCUUCAACCAUGAAGCUCUGUUCUUUAACUUAAACCACAAAUCUCAUUCUAUUCAUCCUAAAUUUGAUCCCACCAUCAAGUUCUAAGCGUUGAGAAUAGUAGGAAAGGACCCGAGGAUUAUUUAUAACUUGAUUUCAUUAAAUUUCAUCAACUAUAUAUACAAAGAAUUUUGAGCUACAAUCAUAUGUGUCUAAAUUUUCAUUUCCCCUCAAUUUCGCUAAUAUGUUUAAUCCUAAAUUCAUAAAAUUUAGUAUUUUUGUUCGAUCCACUUUCGUUAGUAUGUUAAUUCAACUUUCAUGCACCUAGUAUUUCAAUUUAUUUGAAUCAAAUAUUGAAUUUCAUUUUUUUAGUAAAAUGUUAAAUACAAAUUCAAUCGCGAUAAAUAUGAGGAGCUCACACAAUUUCUUUUAAUUUUAAAAAGAUUCACUAAUCUCUUUUGUUUGAUGUAAUAAGUAGUAGAAUUUGAAUCAUACAUAUCAGUUAUGCAUAUAUAUUUUAGUUGGUCUAUACUCACUUAAAAGUAUGCAUAAACAAAUCAACAACUUAAUUAGGUUUCACAGUUGAGAUAUAUGUCUGAUAUCCAUUUAAAAAAGUACAACAAAUUAUGUGCAUGAGCCAAGUUUAAGAAUUUUUUCUUUAUUAAAAGAGAAAAAAAAAAAAAAAAGGACAAGGCCAAAAGUACACAAACCAUUCAAAUUGAAGUUCUUUCUCCUUUUUAAAUCAUCCAUUUUACUUCGAAUAUUCAUACUUCUCAGGUUGUGAAUUUGCAUGGAAUGAGAACAACUCAUUCCAUAGUUUCUUAAUUGAUUAUUUAUGGUUGUAAAUCAAACUUUUGUUUUUCUAAACUUUCUAUGCCAUAAUUUUGUCUAUACAUUCCCUAUAGAAUCCUUGAAUUUAGUAAUACUAAACGGAAAUUUUUUAGCUUUCUCUAAAAAAAUAAAUAAAUAAAAUAAUAACUAGUACACCACUAUUCGCACAAGAUUUUCGGAGAAAUUUGAUUCGUAGAGUUAAACUUUAGUUGAUGUUGUAUUUUUAUUGAUUUGAUACAAUGUGAUUCGAUCUCUAGAAUUUUAUUCUUUGAUUUUUUCUCGAUUUAAUGCUUAUGUUUGAUUUGAGUAAACGGAGCACGUGAUGUUCUUGAAGUUGAAGUUUUAGAAGAAAAUUUGUAUCUUCAAAGAAACUUCAAUCAUCGAGAAAAGUUGGAGUCUUGGAAGAAAGUUUGUAUCUUUAAAAGAGUUUCAAUAUUUGAGGGCGAUCGACCUCAGAAGUUAGGAGGGCGAUCGACCUCAAAAAGUUAGGAAGCUUUCUAGCUCUUUGGAGAAUUCUUUCUACACAUUCUAUAGUAAAAAAAUUUCAACACUUACAAAUAAAAACACUUUUAUUUAGAGAGUUCUCUUCUAGUGUUUAUGAACUUGAGAUUGAUUGGUCCAUGGACCAGACCCACAAAAUCAACUACAUGAAUUUGGGUCAUACUUAGCAUUUAGGCUCAAUUAAGUUUUUUUUUUAUAAUUGAACUUAGUCGUAAAUAAUAUUUAAUUGAACCAAAAUAAAUAACUUGAUCCAACAGUUAGGAUGAAAAUAUAUAUCAUUAACAGAAUUGACCAAUUUAAUUUUAAUUUGGAACACAUUCAUUUUUAAUUAGUCCCAAAUUCAACUAUUUAUAUUUUUCAUCAUUAAUUUAGUAAAUGACGUGGCAAUUUGUAAUUGGUCUAAAUAUUUUGUAAUCAUAGCCACAUAUUUUGAUUGACUUUCUAUAGUGUUUAUAAGUGAAAAAAAAAUGUUUAUAAAUACUAAAGGCCUUUGUACAUCCAUAAAGUAAAUUGUUGUAAUGCAAUUCAAAUCUCAUAUUUUAAAUAAGUUUUUUAAUUAAAAUACCAAACUCAUUUUGUUCCUACAAUUUUUCACUCAUUCCAACACCCUCCUACUCUCAAAAAUCUUGAUUAUAUUCUAACUUCCCAAACGAAUCCCUUGGAAAACAAAUCCCGACCUCUUGAAAUAGUAAUUUAUCGUUUUUUUUUCCAUUAUUAGUCUGUCGUGUAAAAGACAAUAAACAUAUUAGUGAUUAUUUGCUCGAAUCACUAAAAUGCAUUUUAGUUUAAUUUGUUAAAAGAAUUUCAAUUAAGAGAAUGGGAAAAAGAGGAAAAGGAAGAGAGAAUCUAUCUCCUACUGCCCUUCAUAGUCAAUCAAUCAAUGGACAUUGCACCAUUUCAUUUCAAUUUUAUUCCAUAGUGUUAAAUGCUCAGAUAUUGUGUUAAUUGACAAAACAACAACAACAAUAAUAAGAAUAAUAAUAAAGAAAAAGCUCCAUUUCUAGCCUUUCAAAUUUUGCUGGAGUUUUAAAAUAAAUAUUACAACCUACUCCAAAAGUAGUAAAGUAAACAUAACUUUUAAUCUAGAAGAUGAUUGGGAAUAGACCAACUCUUCAAAAUAAAGAAAAUGGAAAAACCAAAAACAAAAUUCAAAUUUUGUUAUAUUUUCAAAUUAUUUUGAAUGUGCAGAUUCUAUAUAUGAAUAAACCAUAAAAUUUAGAAGCCAAAUAACACAUUAAACCUUGUUUUACAAACCAGUUAAGAACAAUCACAUCUUCAAGAUAUAAUUAGAUGGUGAGAAACAGGCAAUCUGAAAAGAUUCAUGAAAAGCAAAAACAAAACUGAACACAGUAUCCCAAACACUAACACUGAAAAGAAAUGAAUCAAAUAAACUGUAACCAAGAAUAUGAAGAAAUGAUUAAAUGGAAGUAAAGAAGGCUAAACUUUUUACUAAAUAAAAACAUCAUACAUAUAUAUAUAAUAUAUAUAGAUAGAUAUAUUUAACAAACUAGUGAGUAGAUAACAUAAUUUUACUUUACCCAUCAUCAUCUGUAGUGUAUGAUGGAUGUUAGAAACUCCCAGGGGUUACUCUAAACCUAAACACCAAGUCAGACAAAUGAAAACCCAAGGACUUGGCAGACAAUUACAAAAUAAACUCUGCCAUAAGCCCCCAUUCUUACAUCCCCAAGUUCACACCUUACCUUAGCAUAAGAUCCAAAAGUAAAAUAUUAUCAUCACUGAUUACAACAUUAAGAGAAGGGGGAGAAAAAACCAUAUAGACUUUUCCAAACACUGUCCCAAUAUGUAAGUCGCUAACACCAUUCGAUCUGCAACUGCAAUCAAGGAUCAGCACUCAUUAGUUUUGUCCUGGCUAUUCCAUUCUUUGAUGCUUUUGAAAAAGAAAAAGAAAAUGAAACAAAUUCUUCAACCAAAGGUAAAGCAAGUAUGGAGCACAGCUGGCACUGCUGGAAAAAGCGGUCAGAAAGAAGGUAAUCCCUUCGGUUCUUUUUCUUUUUUUUUUUUUUUUUUUUUUUUUUUUUGUUUGAAGAAAAGGAAAAAAAGAAAACAACCGUCAAUUGAAAUUCAAAUAACCAAGGGCCCAUUUGAUUAUAAUUUUAGUUUUAGUUUUUGGAUUUUGAAAAUUGGACUUUAUCUCUCUUAAACAAAUAAUUAGAUUCUAAAGAUCAAAUUCUAAAAACAAAAUCAAGUUUUGUAAAAUUUGGCUUGGAUUUGAAAAUAUUUGGAGAAGUAUAUAACAAAAUAAUGGAACUCAUUGGUGGGAAUAACAUUUAAAAGCUUAAUUCAUAAACUUAAUUUUGAAGGACCAAAUUAUUAUUAAACGGGGCCUCAAGGGUGAAAAGCUAUGAUUGCACAAAAUAAAGCUUCAAAUCAUUGUGUCUUCAUUUACAGAUAAUCAAAUAAGGCAUCUAUGAACUCAAAAAGAAAACUUUGUACAAGAAUACAUUCCAUAUACUAAAUUUUCAGAUUUGAUUUGUGGAGACCAAAAUAAAUAAGAGACCUCCAAAUCACUAAUCUUUGACUUGACUUUCUAUUUCUAACUGAAUUUCCAAGUCCUAGUUUAUUACCUUAGGUUUUUUAUCCUUUCCAUAUGGCACAAAAACAAAAUAAUCAGUUUCAAGUAAACAUUUUCCAUUUCAGGGCUUGUGUUUGUUUCAACUUCAGAGUCCUGGGUGAAUUUAAAUGAGGUAAUAAUCAAUUCGACAGUUUUUCCUUUCAUUUUUUCUUUAUCCUGCCAUCAAUCCCAGCAAAUGGUACAAGAACAGAAUCCAAUUGAAGGUUCCCACAGACCCAUCAUAAAACUAAGACAAAAUCCCCAAAACUCUCAUAUAUUUAAUCCUAAGAAGAUAUCAAUAAUUUUCUUAUAACUAUCCUGCAUACUGCAUCAUAAAUUUCCAACUAGGACAAGUGAUAACAGGUUAUCAAUCAGCAGCCUCCAACACUAGAAGAAAUUUCAAUCAAUCAAAUAAUAUGUUUUUGGAAAACGUGCAUGAUGAUGAAGCCGGCAAGGAGGUCAAAUUGCAACAAUGGGGAAACUCAAAAUUACCCUUCAACUCUAACAUCAGUUUUAACAUAUAAGAAAGUUAGAAUGCACUAACCAUCCUAGAAGAAUAGCUAUCACGAUCUCCUAAAUAUAUGGUGGCGGCCUAAAACUUCUGGGAUUCCCAGUGCAGAAAUGCUUUCACAACCAAACAGUUCUCGAAGUUUUGCAUCGCACAACACCGCCAUCGGGUUCAGAGGGUCCUGUUUUUAAGAUCCAAGACAUGUGAGUACAAGAUCAUUUUAAUGAAGAAAAAACAGUUAAUCUGACAUAUGAGAACAAUGCCCCAUGUUUUAAGAUCCAUUACAGAGGGUCCUGUAUGCAUAAUUUUUACAAAGAAAUGAUCUCUCAAGUUGAAAAGAUGGUAUUAAUAGUGAAUGGCUAGCAUGCAACAAAGUGAAAGUUUCCAGAGUUUAUUUGCCAACCUCAAGAUGAUUCACUUUUAUGUAUUCCCAGAUGCGUCUCAGAACUUCUGAUUGGAGCAUCUCCCUACCAUCAACGCCAAAAAAAUUUGCUAGUGCUUCAGAUAUAAUCACAGAAGGACAAAUACUGGGUUCUGCACUUUUAACACUAACUGCGGAUUCAUUCUCCACUCGUGCCUUCUUAGAACUUGAUGGUUCUGACAGGAUUAGAAAAUAAACUAUUGGUUUCUUCCAGAACUAGGGGGACAGGGAAGCAUCAAACUGAAUACUUACUUGUAGGUUCAAGAGGAAUGAUGUGUUUGGCCAGCAACUUAUUCAUUUUGAACAUGUCAGUGCAGUCUGUUUCAAAUACCAACCGCAGCUCAUCAUUGCAUAUUAUUUUCCUCUUGUUACUUGGAUCCUGUAGGUUGUUUUUUCUGAUGUAUGCCCAUAGCUGUUUCACUAUCUGAAACAAACACAGAUGCAUCAUAUGAACCUCAUAAAGUGCUAAAAUUGAGAAUCAAACAACUACGAAAUAAGAAAGAGAUAGAAACCUCAGUUCGCGGUAAUUCUGGCUGGCCAACAAUAGCCUGAAGUUCAGGAGAAACACCACAAAGCUUGUUUAGACCCCCGGGGCCUCCUCUUCUCUUAGUUUUGGUUUGGGUACUGCUUUCAAGUUUUAAAGGUGAGCUUUUAUCAGUCGAAACAUAUAUCUUUGGGAUCUAAGAACUAGAGAGACGUGUAUUAUUUUAAUCUUUGAAUAAAACAGUAAAUGAAACAUUUCACCCUUCCAUGGAAUGAAAACUAAUUGAAAGAUUCUACUUCGUAGCUCUAUAGUACACAACAAAGUGUUCCAUACUUAUGGCUACCAGCUGGUAAUCGAUACUUAAAAAGGUAUCACUAGUAAGGCCAUUGAAAUCAUGAGAUUACAAGCUCGAAGCUACAUACAUUACUAGAUUGCAAAAUAAAAGUAAGCCCAGACUGGGAAGGAGCUAGCCGUUCACUUUCAAAAGUGUGCUGAGAGGUCAAAGCUACAGUGAUAUUUAUAGAAAAAUGUAUGCAUACGAUAAAGACUCCUCACAUGUAGAUGCCAUACAUUAAUAUCCAUUUCCAGUAAACUAGGGUAGCUUCCAUCUCUCAUUUUAUUAACUCCCUACCAAUCCACUACCAUGCUGAUGGACAAAUCCAAAGUUACAAAUUCCCAAGAUUUUUUUUUCCGCAUAUGGUAUCUGGCUGUGCUGACCAGACUAGAACCAAGAAUGCAAAAAUAAUACGAAUUAAAGGAAACAACCAGAAAAUAAAUGAAAACUCAGCAUGCUCGUAGUAGAUACCUAUGCACACACAUUUGACAAGGCAUCAUUAAGAGAAAAUUUACUUUUCCAACAGCCACGACAAAAGCAGAAAGUCACAUUUCUGACCAGAAAUCCUGAAUAAACUUCUCAACCCAGAGGAAAACGAAGCAGAACCUAGUCAACACUCAAGGGAAAAUUAACAAUAAACCCUCGAGUAAAACUAAGACCAACCCAAAUGCCACUAAUCAGUGAACUCUACACUCCAAAAUCCUCCAAACAAAGUCCACAGCAAGUAAACGAACAACUUCACUGCCUUUUCCGACCUAAUUCUGAACGAAUGAAGUAACCGUUGCAAAAAGGAAAAGGAAUAAGCAAAGAAAUCGAGAAGCCAUUCCACUAAUUCUGUAGAAUUGCAAUCAAAACAGAACGAAAUCAACUUCACUCCAGAAUUGAAACAGAUUUACACAAACAUACACACCCAAGACGAACAAUAAGUAAAUCAAAGAGGGCAACUAAAAAAAAUAAAAGAAACCCAAAACCCCAAAAUUGAAAAAACCAAAAGAACCCCACCUUUCCUUUGGCGGGUCAGAGCCCGGAACAGUGGGAGCAACGACGGAAUCCGGCUUAGCCGGCGGAGGCUGAGCAGAGAAAGUGUGAAACGCAGAGGAAGUGGGGGAAGGCGCAGAUUGAAAAUUAGGGCUUUGAUGAAGGGCAAAGAGGUCUUUCUGCGAAGAGGGUAGUUGUUGUUGCUGCUGCUGCUGAUGGUGGUGGUGGUGGUGAUGUUGGUGAUGAUGGGGUUGUUGAGGAUGAGAACGAAGGAUAAAUUGGAUCUGGGCAUGGAUGAAAUCGAGUUUAUGAGAGAGGUCAAGACCAAGCUUGGUCUGCAACUCCUGAACAACAGCGUUUAAAGAAGAAAAAGGGUUAGGGUUUGUAGGAGAAGCAGAGUCGCGAAGAAGACAUUGUAUAGCUUGAGAAAGCUCUUGGUCUGUAACCAUUUUAGCUUCUUGUAGCUCUCAAAAUUGCUUCAUAUAUUAACGGAAAUUAACGGUCCUUCUCUCUCUCUCUCUCUCUCAAGAACUCUCUCUGUCUUCUCUUUCUCUCUCCCUUUAUGUCUCUCUGCUUCUUCCUUUCUCUCUCUUUCUGUGAGAGUAGAAAGACAAAAUGACAAAGCGGUCCAUUCAUGAAGAAAAUGGAUUUUGUGAGUAACCGCAAGGGGCUCGGUGGGUGGAUGUGGGUGAGGUGACAGACCAAUCCCUUUUUGCCACGUUUACUCUCUCCUCUUUGCUUUUGGGGUUUUCACUUCCAUCUUCGUUUCUUUUUUCUUUUAUUAUUGUAUUGUGUAUUCAUUUAUCCAAUGUGUCUUGUCUUGCCCUAUCCCAUCCUAUGUGUAUUCUUAUGUUUGAAUUUUGUGUACAUCUUUCAAAGGUUUUGGAAUUUAUUAGCUUUUUCCAAGACUACUCUACUUUCAAAUCAUGAUGGAUGUGUGAUUGUGAGUUCAAAAAUAUCUCACAAAUGUUACCACUUUUAUUUCUGUUAUUUAGUUUCUAUAGUUGUUUAAUUGUUAGAUGUAUAAUGCAGGGGGUUACUAAGUUAUGGAUUUGGUAUCUUUUAGUCUAAGUUUCACCAACUACUUGGCUUAAAUAAUGAGUAUAAGUCAACUUCAUUUCAUCCUACUCUUACUCUUUUAUGCAAAACUGCCAUCAGAAGAAGACAAAAGCAAAGAGUUAAUAACCAUACAUAGUGACACCAUAGGUUUAAGGGGCUCUUCAACUUUUGGUUCUUAUAUAUAAUACAUAUAGAAAAAGGCUAGAAAAUUAACCAUACCAAAAGUAGCUUAAUGGUAAAAAAAUGUUUCUUAGCCCCUUCUAAAUUAAGUCUCACUUCUAACAUUUUUCUAGAUUAUUUUUACUAUACUAUAAAGCUUCCUCCAACAAAAUUUCUGAAUUCGCCAAUGGACAGUGAGAGUGGAAACCUCUCAUACAAAUGGUUUUCCUCCUUUAUUAGUGUAUAAGGGUGUCACUUGGUUAGCAUUUCUACCAUUUAUGUUUUAGGGUUAGUUUUUUUUUAUGGAAAAAGGGAGGAUUCGAUGGUAGUUAGGAUACAUUUUUUUAAUCACGAUGAGAUGGAUGGAUUUUUAUUCAAGAUGGUUAACCAAAUUUUUAACGGUGACAUUUGGUAUGUUGAAAUCUUUAAGAAUUCACAAAUUAGAAGGACUUUGACUUUAAAUUUAUGAUAAAUGGUUUUGUAGAUUUAACAUAUGUCAAACAUCACAAAUGAUAGCUUAAACAUGAAAUUAAACAUUGAAUCACUAAUUGGACACAACAAUGUGAGGUUGGUCUCAAGAAGGUAAAGACAAAAUGGGCAUUAAUAGAAAAAAUACUUUUAAUUUUGAUUUCGAUAAAAGUUUUAAUUUCAACAACAACGCUUAAAUGGUUAGAUUUUAUGUUUUAAACAUCGUAGAUAAUAAAUAUAAUCCAUUGAUCUUAUUGAUAAAGUGUAAUUAUUGUAAUUUCAAUCGUUGAUUAUUUUAUUAGUUUUGUCUUAAUAACUUAAAUCCAAUAAACUAACUUCCUAAGAUGCUUUAUUAAUAUUGAAUUGUAUGUAGAGACAUACAAGACGUUGAGAUUUAUGUCCUAAAACUCAUAGAUUAUAAAUAUAAUCCAUUGAGAGUUAUUAACAAACCGUUAUUUUUAUAAUUUCAAUAAAUGUUAUUGAUUAUAUUAUUAGUUUUGUCUUAAUAACCCAAAUCCAAUAAAUUAAAUAACCAAAAUCCUACAAACCAACAUCCUAAAUUGUUUGAUGAGUCUUGAACAAUAUAUAGAGACAUACAAGAAUCAAUGUUUGAGAUCAACUUAAAGGGUCUAUAGUAUAGGGAUAAGGCUUGGAUACAACUCACUUUGUAUUUAAUACAAACACAAUGAUCCAACAUGUUCGUGUAGUUGACAUACAAGCAAAGGUAUCCUAUACAAUGAGUUUGCAUAAGGUCAAAUCAUGAAAUAGUAACCACUAGAUGUAACUCCGUUAACUAGUUAGGUUUUUAUUUCAUUAGGAUGACCUAGGUAACUUAGUCUUAAUUCUGAGUGUGUUAUGAACUCCUAUUCACGAUGAAUUUUCCAUUGAUUUUUAUGAGUGAGAAUGACCAGAUUGCCGUCAAUAAACUUAUCAUUUUGGGGAACAUAAUUACACAAGAUGGAAUUCACUCAUUCCCUACUUUACAGUAAGUAGAUGAGUGUUAUCUUAAAUGGUGUCUCUAGAACUUAAACAAAGGGUCAUACCCUCUCUAUGGCAUAAGAGAGGUUUUUGUUUAUUGGUUGGACCAUAAACAAGUUCAUUAGAGGAGCACUGUAUUUAAGGAUUAGAGGUAAUUCAGGGGUAAAAUGGUAAUUCAACUCAGCUGGUGUUAUGAACACUCGUGAAUGACUAAUUUACUAUUAUUGGUCUAUAUCUAUGGACACAUAAAUAUAUCUAGAAUGAGAAGAAUUUAGCUGUGAGUUUUUAGUGGAAUAUACACACAGUUAACGAAUAUUGAUUAAUGUGGUUAAUGAGUUUAGCCAAUUAAUCUCAUAUCAUUGUAACUUCUGAUCUAUAGGUCCAUUAGGUCCCUUCGUAGCUCGUAAAGGGCAAUGAAGUUUAUUUAUAUUGGUUGUAACUUGAAAUGUUCAAAAUUACUUUGAGAAUUAGUUUAAUUCAUAGUGAUACAUUAAUUAUAAUAUAAAGUUUGAUAAACUUUAUUGUAUAAAUUUAAUUUUGGAUAUGAUUCAAAAUUAAUUUAUGAGAGAUAAAAUAUUUGAAUGAGUUCAAGUAUUAAUUUAAUGUGAAUUGGAUUCAUAUUAAAAUUAUUGGGUAGGAGAGAAACUUAUAUUUGAAUAUGAUUCAAAUUUAAUUUAAGUUAAAUAUAAGAUAUUUAAUUUAGCAAUUAAUUAAUUGGAGAAUUAAUUAAUAUUUUAGUUUGAUUUAAGAGGAAUUUUAAAAAAUAGCUAAGUUUACAAAAUAUUUAUCACCUAUAGCAAAUUCUAUCACCGAUAGUUAUUGAUAUGUUAUAGUGAUAUGAUAAAAUUCAAAAUUUUGCUAUAACUUGUAAAUAUUUUGAUUUAUUUUGCUAUUUUUAAAAAUGCCCCUUUAUUUAAUUUAAUUAAAAUUUAAUUAUAUUUGAUUUAAUUAAAUCAAUAUAAAACUAUAAAAUAUUAGAGAGAUAUUCAUUAAAUAAGAUUUAAAUUAAAUAUUAAAUAAAUAUGAUUUAAUUAGUUUUUAACUAAUUGAUUAAUGGUUAAUUAAUUAGUAUAUUUGAAAUUUUUAUUAAUUUAAUAUUUUUUAAAUUAAUAGAAUCUCGUGAUUCUCUCGUACUCCUACUCCCUUUUUAAGGAAAGAGUGUUAUAAAUAUCUAAAAGAAAAUAUUUUUCUUUAGCAAUUGAAAUAAGAAAAAAAACUAAUAAUUUGUUUUUCUGGAAAAGAGUUUCUCUAAAAUAUCUAACUUUUUUCCAUUUCAAUUGAUUUCCACAAACCAAUCUCAUCCCAUAGGAUAGGUGGUGUCUCAAUUUGAAAAUUUAUUUUCGUAGAUUUAGAGACGUCAAACAAGUAAAUUUUUUUUCUACACUACAAGAAAUCGGGAGUUUUUCGACGCAAGAAAAAUCAUUGGAAAACAUGUCGCCGGUAGAAGUCAAUGUUUUCUUAAGCAGCUUGGUCCAUGUCAGGGGAAGGCCUUUGCUCCGACGCAGGAACAUGAGCGUCAGAAAUGGCCGAAAUGGUUUAGGGUUCCUCUAACAUGGUGCUAGGUACGUCAGACAAUGGGCCCCUAUUUCCGACAUGUGUCGUGUCGCGUCGGAAGAUGGUAGACAAUUAAAUGCACCAUUUGGCCUUCCUUUGACGUGGUGAAAGGUGCGUCGGGCAAUGAGCCACUAUUUCCGACGUCUAUAGUGUUGUGUUAGAUGAAGGGCAGAUCAUUAAUUGUACGUUACGCCUUUCUCCGACGAUGUGUCAGCAACGUCGGGAAUAGUUUAGGGAUUCUCGACGUGUCACUUACAGCAUCGGAAAUAGGGUUUAGAGAUUUCCAACGUGUCACUCAUUGUGUCGGGAAUAUGGUGCAAUACCCAACGUUUUCAUUAUGCGUCGAGGUCUCCGUCUUUUUUUAACUCCAUUCUUUACAGAAUGAAAACAGAAAAGAGAAAGAAAACCGAGAGAAGGAGAGGCAAACUGAGAGGGAGAUCGUGAAGAAGAGGGCGCUCGUCGUCGUUGUCGUCCCCAUUGUCGUUGUCGUCGUCAUUGCAUAUCAGUAUACCUUCUUUGACGUGAUUUUUGUUUGAUUUACCUAAGAAAAUAGGAUUUUGAAUUAGUUUUUAUUUUAGGAUUUGGAUUUUGAAUUAUGUUUUAGUUCGAAAUUUAUGAAUUGGGUGUUUGAUUAAGGAAUCAAUCUUGCAUAUUUCUAUUUUAGAAAUCCAAUUGUGUGAAUUGGGUGUUUGAUUAAUGUAAAUAAAUGUUAAUGUAAUUGUAAGUUUGUUAAUGUAUGUAUGAAUGUAUAAAUAAAGUAUAAUAAUAGUAAUAUUAUUAUUAUUAAUAAUAAUUUUAAAAAAUUAAAUGAUAUUUCCGAUGCAGCACAUGCAUCGGGAUAAAGGACAGUUUCUGAUGCAUAUGCACUGUGUCGGGGGACCAUUUACCGACGCACCGUCUUCCAUCACAAGGAAAACGUCGGUGGAUCCCAAGAGGUAAACCGGCAAAAUAAGGGACAUCGCUAAAAACUACGUCGGAAGAUAUGAACUUCCGACGCACGCUUGUGGUGCGUCAGAGAUGGAUCUCCCGACACAAUUGUAUGGAUAUUAUAAAAUUUUGAUAAUUAGAAACCGUCGACCUAUAGUAAAGAGUUGCAUGCAAAAAUAGGAUCUUAUAAUUAAUUGUUGGAUCGGUAUGGCAACCCUAGAGGGGGGUGAAUAGGGUUUAAAUAAACUUUUUUGACAAAUAAAAAGUAAAAUCAACUAAUUAGAUACUUUUUAAAUUUAAAUAAAGAACUUUGUAAACUUUGUUAAAUAACAAGAUUGAUAAAAAUAUAUGAAUGGAAGUAUGCAAUCAAACUCAACCAAUAAGAGUAUGUAACUAAAAUUAAAUUAAAAAAUAAUUAGAAAAGAGUUAGAGAAGAAGACACCGUAAUUUUAUAGUGGUUCGGUUAAACUCAACCUACAUCCACUUUCCCAAGCACCUCUUGGGAUUUUGAUUGAAAAUCUUCUUUGGACUCUUUCCACGGAUUUGAGCCGAACCGAUUCUUGCUCCUUUUUCGGGUUCAAGAGCAAACCCGAUCCUUUCCACGGGUUAGGAUCCAACCGUUACAAUAUGUUGAAGUUUUUAAAUCACACAAAAGAAAACUCUCUAAAAGAGUGAGUAUACAAUUUGAAGCUCACAAAUUUAAUCCUCACAAUACAAUAAGAAGCUCUCAAGAAUAAGAUGAAAAGAAUAAAAAUUGGAAGCUUUAGAGAGAAUAACAAUGUUGGCUUUUUGCUUGAGGAUUGUAAAGAUUUGUGAUCUUGUGUAAAUGUGAAGUAUUUAAAAAGAGAGGAAAGAUAAAUUCAAAAUCAUUUGGGUCAUUAGAUAUAAGUAAAAGAAAAAUGAAUGGUUGAGAUUUAAACUUAAUUAGCCGUUAGACACAAUACAAAUAAUAAUAUAAUAAUAUGUCUUUUCAAAAUACUUUGUUUAAAAAGAAAUCAAUAAAGCAACUUCACCAUCUUUUAAAAAACUAGCCGUUAGACACAAGAAAAAUAAUAAUAUUAAAAUCAUUUUCUUUUAAAUUCAUUUUCUUUAUAAAAGCCAAUAAAACAUAACAAAAAGCCACAUUUGUUACUCCUUCAUUGCUCCAAGUGGCUUUCUCUAAUUGGUUCAAAUUGAAUGCUUGGUCGCCACGUCACCAUCUCGGGUAUUUUUCGUUAAGCUUCUUUUAGCAAUAUUUUCUUCAUUUGAACUUCGAUUUGGGUGAUUCAAGAGGCGUUAGAAUCAUUUUUCCAAGCUCUACGAUAUGGUCUAUUCAAAUUAAUAAAAUUGUCAAUAAAAAAAUCAGAUUUGUUAUCAUCAAAACAUAAAUUAAUUGAAUAAUUAAAAUAAAAAAUUUGAGAUUAAGGGCCAAAAAGCCAACAAUCUCCCCCUUUUUGAUGAUGACAAAUCAUUGAAGAAAAAUAACUUGAAACACACAUGAUCAACAAGUAAUUCUAUUAUCAAGAUGUAUAACCAUAAAGCUCAUGUAUAUAUUUCACCACAAAGAACAUACUUGAAAACAAUUGAUAAGAGAACCUUCUUUGUCCUUAAUUAAUUUUUUUCUCUAAAAAAAUAUGCAUUAUUCAAUAGAAACAAUUAUGCAACAAAUUGAUAAAAACAUAUUUUUCUUAUACUUCUCCCCCUUUGGAAUCAUCAAAAACAAUACCAAUGAAGUUAGCUCUCCCAAAAAACAUGAACACAUACAAAAUGUCUAAUUCCCCCUAUCAAUAUGCAUUACGGUAACAAUAUCAAGUAAGAUAUAAAAUCAAGAUGCAUCCAACGAAUAAUUCCAAGCUCAAGCCUAUUUUUACAAAAGCUUUCUUCACUCAAAGGCUUGGUAAAUAUAUCCGCUAAUUGAUUAUUGGACUUACAAACUCAAGAGUAAUAUGACCAUUUUGUACAUGCUCUCUAAUAAAGUGAUGCCUAAUAUCUAUAUGCUUAGUUCUAGAAUGAUGAAUAGGAUUCUUAGUCAAAUUUAUGGCACUAGUAUUAUCACAAAAUAUAGGCACAUUAUCAAAUUUUAAUCCAAAAUCACAAAGAGUUUGUUUCAUCCAAAGAAUUUGUGCACAACAACUAGCAACCGCAAUAUAUUCCGCUUCGGUAGUGGAUAAGGCAACCGAAUUUUGCUUUUUACUAAACCAAGAUACUAAGGAACUACCAAGAAAUUGACAAGUCCCACUAGUACUUUUACGGUCAAGUAAACUACCGGCAAAGUCCGCAUCGGAAUAUCCUACCAAAUUAAACUCAACAUUUCUAGGAUACCAUAAUCCAACAUCAAUAGUUCCAAGCAAAUAUUUAAGUAUCCUUUUAACGGCAUGGAAAUGUGAUUCUUUAGGACAAGAUUGAAAUCUAGCACAAAGACAUACACUAAACAUGAUAUCGGGUCUACUAGCGGUCAAAUAAAGUAAAGAUCCGAUCAUACCUCGAUAAGUCUUUAUAUCCACACACUUACCUUUUUCAUCUUUGUCAAGCUUAGUGGUAGUGCUCAUAGGAGUUUUUGCAACUUUACCUUCAUUUAAUUUGAAUUUCUUGAGCAAAUCCCUUGUGUAUUUUUCUUGACUUAUGAAGAUGCCAUCCUUGAGUUGUUUGAUUUGAAGACCAAGGAAGAAACUAAGUUCUCCCAUCAUACUCAUCUCAAACUCAUUAUGCAUACACUUGGAAAAUUCUUCACACAAAGAUGAAUUAGUAGAACCAAAUAUAAUAUCAUCCACAUAAAUUUGUACUAUAAGCAUGUCAUUAUUUUUAACUUUAAUAAAUAGAGUAUUAUCAAUUUUUCCCAUCUUAAAGUCAUUCUCAAGUAAAAACUUGCUAAGUCUAUCAUACCAAGCUCUUGGAGCUUGUUUUAAGCCAUAAAGAGCCUUUUUCAAUUUAUAAACAUGAUUAGGUAAAUCAAAACUUUCAAAGCCCGGAGGUUGUUCUACGUAAACUUCUAGGUUCAAUUUGAGACACAAAAGCAAGAUUACUAAAUAAAUUAAGAGAAGAACGAGUUUUGACACCUUGUUCGGGAUUGCCAAGAAUUAGAUCCUUGGGAUGGAAUAGAGCAUAUCUCCACUCUUUAGGCAAGGAUAAAGAACCCAUUUCUUUCUUUUCUAUGAUGUUCACAUCUUGCAUACUUGGAACAAUUUCUUUGCCUUUGUCAUUAACAAGUAAAUCUCCAAAAUCUUUUUCUAAAUCAUCACUACAAUAGACUCAUUAGAAACAUUAUUCAAGAUUCAUCAAAUAUAACAUGAAUAGAUUCCUCAAUAACUAAAGUUUUCUUAUUGAAAACUCUAUAAGCUUUACUAGUAGAGGAAUAUCCUAAAAAAAUACCAACAUCCGUCUUAGAAUCAAAUUUUCCAAGUUUUUCUUUGUUAUUCAAAAUAAAACAUUUACAACCGAAAACUUUGAAAUACCCAAUAUUUGGAAUUUUACCAUGCCAAGUUCAUAAGGAGUUUUAUCUAAAGAGGGUCUAACUAAAACUCUAUUUGAAACAUAGCAAGCUGGUUUAACGGCUUCCGCCCCAAAAAUAUUUAGGUAAACCAUACUCAUUCAACAUUGAUCUAGCAAAUUCUUGCCAAAGUACGAUUUUCCUUUCAACUACACCAUUUUGCUACUUCCUCUGCUCGAAAUGCAUCUAAAAAUUUUUAGGGAUGCAUAUAAUCAUUGGACAAAUGCCAAUGACAAGGCCUGUGUGUAUCUCUUGUCUAGUAUGUCUGACAUACUAAGCAAGAAACACAAAAACCAUGGUCAUUAGACGUCAGAUCAAGGAUUCGCUUCAAGAUAUAUUUAAGAAGAAUUAAAAAGAAAGUAAAUAUAAUUUACUUGCCUUAGAAACAUGUUUAGUGGAAAAUGACCAAAAUGUCUCUAGAUACUUGAUUUAGAGCCACUAGUCAUCUUUGCUCUUCUUUACAUAAAACUAGUUCCUUUAAGCAGCUCGAGGAGAUGAGAUACACUCAAAGUUAAAAACGAGAGAUGCCAUUUCAGCUCGUGUAAUGGGAGAUGUUAAAUUUUCUUUUAAAAUAGAUUCUUGUUUCUAAAAAACUUGAUAUAGUUCCUAAGAUUAAAAAGGAAUCUUAUAUUUAUUUCUUGUCUUAUUGAACAAUCAUAUAAUGUAACAUUUUCUUUAAAUGAAGUGUUCAUUUCUAAGAAUGGUGUACACAUUUGUUCAGCCUAAGCUUGAAGACAACUUUUGUAUGUAUUAAGACCUAACAAAGCGAAAGCAAUUUUAAAUCAUGAGAUGUUUAAAACUGCUAAUACUCAAAAUAAUACCUAUCUUUGGCAUUCAAGAUUAGGUCAUAUUAAUCUCGAUAGGAUCGGGAGAUUGGUAAAGAAUGGACUUCUAAAUGAGUUAGAAGAUGAUUCAUUGCCUCCAUGUGAAUCUUGUCUUGAAGAAAAGUUGACUAAAGAGACCUUUUACUAGAAAAUGCUAUGGAGCCAAAGAGCCCAUAGAACUUAUACAUUCAGACCACUAUGGUCCAAUGAAUGUAAAAGCUAGAGAAGGUUUUGAAUACUUCAUCUCUUUUAUAGAUGAUUAUUCAAGGUAUGAUUAUUUAUACUUAAUGAAACGUAAGUCUGAAGCUCUUGGAAAGUUCAAGAAGUAUAAGGCUGAAGUUAAAAAUCUAUCAAGUAAAAAAAUUAAAAUACUUUUAUCUGAUCGAGGUGGAGAGUAUAUGGAUUUGAGAUUCCAGGACUAUAUGAUAGAACAUGGAAUCCAAUUACAACUUUCAGCACCUGGUACACCUCAACAAAAUGGUAUAUUAGAAAUGAGAAAUAAAACCUUGUUAGACAUGGUUCGUUUAAUGAUGAGUCAUGCUCAAUUGCCUUGCUCGUUUUGGGGGUAUGCAGAUUGAACAAUGUUCCUCGAAAAGUGUUUCUAAAAUACCUUUCUGUAACGAUCCAACACUUUAUACUAAGGUGAGAUCAUUACCACUAAAACAAAUAAAGACUUUUUAUUUAAAUCAAAGAAAAUACUAAGUUUUAAAAAGAAACACUCAUAAAAUAUAAGUAAAGUAUAUAAUAAAAUAUUAGUUCGGAACCUAUUUAAAAUAAAAAAAAUAUAUCUAAAAGUAAACAUGGGUUCUGAAAUAAAUUUAAUACUCAAAACAUAAAUGUGGAAGAAAACAUAAGAUGUUCCCUAUGACGAUCCACGGUCACUUCUUGCCAUUCGCGAGCUUGCCUUUACCUGCUCCUUUACCUGAAAAAUUAAACAUAGAAAAGGGUGAGUAUAAAUUUAUACUAAGUAAGAGACCCACUACUACUCCUGCUACGUGUCUGUUAACCUCUCGUUAUAGUCCUGUAAGAAAAUAUCGAAUAUCUAUUGUGCUCCCAAACGUACGCUAUCCAGUGAUCUUGUAGGAACACAUCUAGACUCUUGGUGAACCCGAAGGAGUCACCCUAAAGAAGUGUAAGUGAUCCUAUUGAUUCACAUAUAAAAGCUAAGCCACACAAACAUAAAUAGGUGGUGAUCCCGAGGGACACCCAUAUGAUACGACUCUAACAGGUAAAGCUAACACAACAUCAUAGUCUAUACAUAUAACAUAACAUAAAUAACAUAUCUCAAACAUGAUGUAUCUCAACCAUAGUAUAUCUCAUUCAUAACAUAUCGUGGUCAUCACAUAUCUUAGUCAUACAUAACGAUUUUUUAUGUAGCUAUCAUUAUCUAACAUUCUUCACAGUCACAUCACAUGCAUCAUGGCUACGUUAAUGCAUACUAAGGGAAAACAUAAUGUAAGGAUCUAAUAAUAAAACUUCUUACCUGGAGAUUAAUUAUCAACUAAUUCAGUCAUAAACAUAAACAAAAUUAAAAUUAUUAAUUUUGUCAACCAUCACCCAACUAUUUAAUUAAGCAUCCAAACUUCCAACUAUUUAAUUAAGCAUCCAAACUGACCCCCAAGAUUAAGGUUGAAUCAAACAAAACCUUGAAUGGAAAAUUUCGGAGUCUCAAAUCCUCAAAUUAACACUUGAACCUUCAAACAAAAAUAAUUUAACUCAUUCCAUUGUAAACUUAUUUAAGAUCCAAAAAAUAUUCAUUUGGGCAUACCAAACCAACACAGCUCAAGAGAUACCAAAAAGCAACUUGGCUUAAACUAAGGCAGAAAUGGCCCACGCGGCUCUGCAGGAGGAGAAUCGACUUGGCAGUCAGCUCGGGUGCACAACUCACAAAAGGAGAAAGAAAUCGGCUGUGACAAGCGCGAUUUACGAAGGAGUAGAUAAGUGGCUCUGUGAUGCACAGAUCGACUUGCUCAAGCAAGGGUUCGUUUAACGAUUGCCGGCAAUGAGAUCUGGGUGGCACGAGACAGAACUUAACGACGGUAAGGCUUAAUGAAAACGUUCAAAAACUAGAUGAUUGAUGAAAUGAAAAGAGAGAGAUUCCUCGGCUUCACCUACAUGCAAACGUAGGAGGUGGGGGGUGCAUAGUCGGCUUGUGCGACUUCGUCACUAAGGAACAAAGAGGAAUGACGGUGUCAACAAACGACGAGCGGUGAUCCUUGCAACGGAGCACGAUGGCGGCUGGGGUUUGUGAAGAAUUAAGAAGAUGAUGAAUAGUUCCCUUUUUUGCACGUUUCACAAGGGUUAAUUAUAUAUAAUAAUAAUAAUGAUAUUUAUUAUUAUUAUCAUUAUUCCUUUUCUUUUGCUAAUUAACAAAUUAACCAAAAUCAAAUCAUACUUUCUCUCCUCGUUAAAUACCCAUCAAACCAAACUUUUUACUUUCCCCAAAAAUACAAUAUCUUUCCAAAUAAUUAGAUUUUCCACAAUAUAAUUAUUUUCUCUCUAAAAAAUAUCUUUCCUAAAAAAAAUCAAUAAUAUAUUAUUCUACCCUUCCAUAACUUAAUUAAUUAUAUACAUAUAUAAUUAACCAAUAAACUUAAAUCUCACCAAAAUUUUCAAUAGUAUAAUUAAUUAAAUAAUCUUCCACUGAACAUUCAAUUAAUCACAAUUUCCACAAUACUAAAAAAAUUAUAACACCCAAUUAAAUCCAUCAUAAAUUAAAUUAAACUAAGAUAAUUAAAAAAAUAAAAUUACCUUAAUUUUUGGGUGUUACAGUUUUUGAAUUUAAAUAAUUUUUAGACGUAACCAGCCUUAAGGACAGCAUGUUGUACAAGUUAUCGACCCUACUGCACCUGUCACUCAUGCAUACCUUGCUGCCAUGGAGCAAAUGUACAUAGACUUAUUGUUCAAAGUAUUGGCACAGUGACAACCUACCUAGGAUAUCCAAACAACUCAUGUACGGACACCGGCUGCAAGUGUUUAGAUCCCAGUUGCGGGAGUUUAGGCCCCAAUUGUAGCAUAUAACCUACUUGAUAUGCUUUCAGCAGAAGCCAAACACCUGAGGGAUUUCAGGAAGUAUAACCCUCGGACUUUCGAUGGAUCCUUGGCAAACUCCACCAAGGCGCAGAUGUGGUUGAGUUCGGUGAAGACUAUCUUUCGUUACAUGAAGUGCUCCAAUGACCAGAAAGUUUAGUGCGUCGUGUUCUUACUGACUGAUAGAGACAGAGGCUAGUGGAAGUCCACAUAGAGGAUGUUGGGUGGAGAUAUGAGUCAGAUCACCUAAAAGUAGUUUAAGGAGAAUUUUCAUGCCAAAUUCUUCUUCGUGUCAAGAGUUCUUAAAGUUGGAGCAAGGCAAUAUGGCCAUAGAGGAGUAUGAUCAAGAAUUCGAUGUGUUAUCCCGAUUUGCACCUGAGUUAGUGAGAACUGAGACUGAGAGAGUUGACAAGUUUGUCAAAGGCAUUAAGUAGGAGAUCCAGGGUUUCGUUAGAGUCUUUAGACUAGCUACCUAAGAUGAUGCACUACACAUGACAGUGGAUUUGAGUUUGCAUGAGAGGAUAAAGAUGGCCAAGGCUGUAGAGAAUGGUCCAAUUGUAGGGUAGAAAAGGAAGGCUUAGCAGUAGCCUACAGUAGCACCACAAAGGAAUUUGAGAUUAGGUGGUUUGUUCCAGCAGCUUAGACAGUAGGUUGUUGAGGCAGGCAAAACCUUGAAGGAAGUAUACAUGUGUUCUAAUUGUGAAAGGUCUCAUUCAGGUCAUUGCCUAAUAGGAAGUAGUAUAUGCUACAAGUGUAGGCAACCUGACAUAUAUAUAGCUGAUAAUUACCCUCAGAAAUAGUUUGAACCUAUCUCGAACUAGACUUCUACAUCUCGAUAGGGGUGAGUUUUUGCCACUAAUCAACAGGAGGCUGAGAAAGCUUACACAGUGGUGAUAGGUACACUCCUAAUCUUGGAGCACUUUGCUUUAUUAUUAUUUGACUCGGGGUCCUCUCAUUCUUUUAUAUCGCCAAUUUUUGUUCAACAUAUGAGUUUACAAGUAGAACCCUUGAGUUAUAUGUUAUUUGUCUCUACUCCAUCUGGAGAAAUUAUGUUGUCGAAAGGAAAGAUAAAAACAUGUUAAAUAGAAAUAGCAUAUCAUGUUUUAGAUGUAACUUUAUUAGUAUUACACAUGCAAGACUUUGAUGUAAUAUCGGGCAUGAAUUGGCUAUCUGCUAACCAUGCAAACAUAGAUUAUUCUCGCAAGGAGGUAGUUUUUAACCCUCAUGAGGCGACUAGUUUAAAGUAUAAGGGGGCGGGGACUGUGGCCUACCCAAAGUUAUCUCAACCAUGAAGGCCAGUAAGUUGUUCAACCAAGGUACUUAGAGUAUCUUGGCUAGUGUUGUAGAUACCAGAGAGCCCGAUGUAUCCUUAUCAUCUGAAUGAAUGGUAAGGAAAUACCCCGAUGUUUUUUUAGAAGAGCUUUCAAGACUUUCUCCUCACAAAGAGGUUGAUUUUGCUAUUGAACUGAAACCAGGCACUGGUCCCAUAUCGAGAGCUCCAUACAGAAUGGCUCCAGCUGAGCUGAAGGAGUUGAAGGUCUAGUUGCAAGAAUUAUAGGACAAGGGCUUUAUUCGAUCUAGUAUGUCACCUUGGGGAGCACCACAUUAUUUGUGAAGAAGAAAGAUGGGUUGAUGUGUCUUUGCAUUUACUAUAAAAAGCUUAAUAAGGUGAUAGUCAAGAACAAAUAUUCAUUGCCCAGGAUUGAUGGCUUGUUUGAUCAGUUUUAGGGAGCCACUGUGUUCUCUAAGAUCAAUUUACGAUCAGGAUAUCACCAGUUGAGGAUUAGAGACAGUGAUAUUCCCAAGACUGCCUUUCCAGAUAUGGACAUUACGAGUUUAUUGUGAUGUCCUUUGGCUCGACAAAUGCUCCUGGUGUAUUUAUGGAUUUGAUGAAUAAGGUGGUGCUUAAGGAUUUCUUAGACACUUCUGUGAUAUUUUUUAUUGAUCACAUCUUGGUUUACUCCAAGACAGAGGCUGAGCAUGAGGAGUAUUUGCAUAAGGUAUUAGAGACUCUUCGAGCCAAUAGGCUAUAUGCCAAGUUUUCCAAGUGUGAGUUUUGACUGAAGCAAGUUUUGUUCCUUGGCCAUGUAGUGUCCAGUGAAGGAGUUAUUAUAGACCCAGCAAAGAUUAAAGUUGUUACCAUUUGGCCUCGACCUUGUACAGUCAGUGAAGUUUAAAGUUUUUUGGGUUUAAUAGGUUAUUACAGAAGGUUCGUGGAAGGCUUCUCUCGUAUAGCUAGUCCUUUGACCUAGCUAACCAGGAAGGGGAAUCCUUUUGUUUGGAGCCCAGCAUGUGAGAGCAGUUUCCAGGAUCUUAAACAGAAACUUGUUACUACACCAGUCCUUAUAGUGCCAGAUGGAUCUGGGAGUUAUGUGAUUUACAGCGAUGCCUCUUAGAAAGGAUUGAGUUGUGUAUUGAUGCAAUAAGGUAAGGUGGUUGUUUAUGCCUCUCCUCAGUUGAAGAGCCAUGAGCAGAACUACCCUACACAUGAUUUAGAGUUUGGCAGCAAUAUUUUUGCACUUAAGAUUUGGAGGCAUUAUUUAUAUGGUGAGAAGAUUCAGAUCUUCAUUGACCAUAAGAGCUUGAAUUGGUCAAGGACUUAAAUAUGAGAUAAAUAUGAGAUAGCGCGGAUGGCUCGAGUUGGUCAAGGACUACGAUCAUGAGAUCGUGAGUUAGUAGGAAGGUAUCAUACUCUGUAGCACUCAUUACUAGUCAGGUUCCUUUGCACAGAGAUCUUGAGAGAGCUAAGAUUGCAUUUUUAGUAGGAGAAGUCACCUCACAGUUAGCUCCGCUGUCAGUACAACCAACUUUGAGGCAGAGAAUUAUUAUUGCUCAGCUCACUGAUCCUUAUUUGGUUGAUAGUCACUUUUUAUGAUUAUGAAAUAUGACAAAUGGAUGUUAAUACUGCUUUUCUAAGUGGCAAUCUUGAAGAAAGUAUCUUUAUGUCUCAGCCUGAGGGGUUCAUAACCCAAGGUUAGAAACAAAAAGUUUACAAGCUGAAUCGAUCCAUUUAUGGGUUGAAAUAAACAUCUAGUUUGAACAUUAGAUUUGAUAUUGCGAUCAAAUCUUACGGUUUUGACCAAAAUGUUGAUGAGCCUUGUGUAUACAAGAAAAUCAACAAAGAUAAAGUAGCUUUCUUAGUACUUUAUGUGGACGAUAUUCUUCUCACUGGAAAUGAUGUAGGAUACCUAACUAACGUUAUAAACUUGGCUACCAGUCCAAUUCUAAAUGAAAGGGAGAGGCACAAUUUGUUCUUGGGAUCCAAAUCAUAAGGGAUCGUAAGAACAAAAUGCUAGCACUGUCUCAGGCAACCUAGUAAUUAAUUAAUUGGAAAAGUAAUUAAUUAAAUUAAAUCAUGAAUAUACACAUAAAUGUAGCAAAACCCAAAAAUAUUUACGUCGCAUGUAACAAAAAUUAAAGCACAUGAAGCACCAUUAUUUUUUUUUAUAAAUUUCAGAUUUUCCCUUUGUCAUUAUUUUUGCGCAUUGUGAAACCAUUCUUCACUUCACUUCUUUUUCUUCUUCUUUGCAAUUUAUUCUUUUCUUCUUCGUAUUAUUAAUUUCUUCAUAUUAUUACUUCUCUUUCAUAUUCUCACUUCUUCUUGUCUGUGAUUUCUUCAUUUCCUUUUUCAAAAUUUCUUUCUUCUUCAUCUCUCAUCUUCUUUUUUUGCUUCUUGGUACAAGAUCUAAAUGAUAUUAGUACAUGAUUUAAAUGAUAAUGUAUCAAUAUCUAAAUCAUCAGUUGUCUAUCCCAGAUAAACAGACAUAGACCACUGUUACUAAUGGAUCGUUUAGAUUUGGUACAAUAUUGUUUAGACUAAAUAAAAAGAUCGUUUAUGUUGGGAUUUAUGUCCUAAAACUCGUAGAUUGUAAAUAUAAUCCAUUAAUCGUUGUUUAAUAACAUGUUAUUAUUGUAAUAAUUAUUAUUGGUUAUAAUAUUAGUUGUCUUAAUAACUCAAAUCAAACAAACUAACAUCCUAAGUUGUUUAAUGAAUCUUAAACAGUAUGUAGAGACAUACAGGGAUAAAGGUUCAAGAUCAGCUUAAAGGUUCUAUAGUACAAGGAUAAGGCUGAAUACCUAAUCCUGGUAACACUAUGAAUAUGGCUCACUUUGUAUUUGAUACAAACACAAUGAUUCAACGCGUUUGUGUAGUUGACAUACGAGUGACGGUAUCUUAUGCAAUAAGUUUACAUAAGAUCAGACGGCAAAAUAAUAACUACUAGAUGAAACUCUGUUUACUAGUCAGGUUUUUAUUCAUUAGGAUGACCUAGGUAACUUAGUUUUAAUUGUAACGCCCCAACUUUUCUAGAAGGUUGAGGUCAUUACUAUUUAAGUAAAUAUAUAUUUUUUUUAAUAUACAAGAAAAUAAAUUAAAAUUUGAGGAAAAACUUUAAAUAAUAAGUAGUUAAAAUAACUGAUCAAAAUACCAGUUUGGGCCCAAAAAUAGAAGAAAUACUUAAAGUAAUUGAACCAGAGUUCUGAAAUAAACCUAUGAAAAUAUAACUAUUGAAAUAUAAAUGCGGAAGAAAACUGAAUUGUUCCCUAUGGCGAUCUAUGAUCACUUCUUAUCAUUCGCUAUUAUGCCCUUGCCUCUACCCUUACCUGAAAUUAAACAUUUAAAAGAGUGAGUAUAAAUUUAUACUUAGUAAGAGACCCAUAGUGGUCUCACUAUGUGUCUGUUAACCUUUCGUUAGAGUCCUGUAACAUGGUACCGCAUACUAUUGCGCUCCCGAACGCAUACUAUCAAGUGGUUCCGUAGGGACACAUCUAGGCUCUCGGUGAACCCGAAGGAAUCAUCCUAUAGGAGAGUCAGACUGUAAGUGAUCCCGUCGAAUCACAUCUCAAACAAGUCACACAUGCAUACAUAGGUGGUGACCCUGAUGGACCCCCAUACGGUACAACUCUAAUAGGCAAAACUAACAGAACACUAUAGCCUAUACAUGUUUAUCAUAAGAUCAACAUCUUAGCUCAAUUACACAUAACUCAAAAGUAACAUAUUUGAUUAUAGCAUGCCUCAACAAAUAAUACUAUAUCUAAAUCAUAAUAUGGUUUUCAAAGUAACUAUUUAUACGACCAUCUCAAACAACAUAAUUCAACUCAUUCCAGUGCUAACUCAUUUUAGACCCAAAACAAUAAUUAUUUGGGUGUACCAAACCCAACGAGAAUUAAGCAAAAACUCACCAAGGGCUUAAAUAUGUUGCAGACGGCUAAAACUGAAGGUGGCUCGACUAACAACGCUUCAGCUCGAGUCUUGAGACUCACGGCUGGCAUACGACUCACACAGGAAUGGCUCGGUUGCGCGUGGCUCGCGUAUGGCUUACACGAAACGGCUCGGAUCCACAGAGAUGACUCACGAGGCUCGGUGAAGGAAUACGACUCGAACUAACACGACUUGACAUGUGGCUCGCAAAAAGAAAACUUUCACAGCUUGCAUCCUUCACUGUCAAGCACGAUGAUGUCCGGCGGUGCUGUGCGAGUGGAGGCAACGACGGGUGAUGGUUUCGACGGAAGAGAGGGUUCUGACCGAUGAUGUGGAGGAGGAACGCACAGAGGAAGACAGGGGUCGUUCGACGGUUCGAUGCAACACGCGUCGACACGGCUGGAGAGAAACGAACGGUUGUGCUUCGUGACCGUGACGCUUCGACUAUGCGACUGUGACAGGGACUCUCUCACCGGAGUGCUGCAUUCGAUGAUGGCUGGAGGAGCGGGGCGACAGCUACUCUAGGGUUAAAUGGUGAAGAAGAAAGAGUGGGGUGGAGAAGAUGAGCACGAAAUACGAGAGAGACUUAUUUAAUAUAUACAAUAAUAAUAAGUAUUAUUAUUAUUAUUGUCAUUAUCUUUAUUAUCAUUAUUUAAUUUCCCCAACGAACUCAUUUUUUUCUAUUUCAAUUAAUUUUUCUCUUUCUUCAUUACUAACUCAAUCCAUCAUCAAUAACUUCUCUCGUUUCCUUAAUAAUUAUAUUAUCCCAUAAUAUAAUUAUUCUUAUUCGUCUAUAACUUUGCUUAUACCCAUAAACAAUAAUUACUCAUAAUACUUUCAACUUUACAAAUUUAAUUUACCAACCAAUCAAUCCAAAAAUUACCACUUUAACAAAAUGAUUUCAAAUUUCAGAAUUAACCACAUAUCAUUCCAACGCACUUAACUUCCACAAAUCAAAUAAUUUCACACAUAACACCCAAUUUUUUUUAAUAUAACCCACAUUAAAGUUAACUUACUAGUUUUGGGGUGUUGUAAUCUUUCCUCCUUUGAGAAACUUUCGUCCUUGAAAGAUCUAAUCCUCGAAUAGCUCGGGAUAAUGCGCUCUCAUGUUGUCCUCUUUCUCUCAAGUAGCUUCCUCAACCUCGUGGUUUCGCCACAAAACCUUGACCAAUGUAAUUCCUCUGUUACAAAGCAGUUUAACUUCCUUAGCCAAAAUCUCAACUGGCCGCUCCUCAUAGCUUAAGUUGUCGUUAAUUUGCAACGGUUUGUAGUCGACUAUAUGUGAGGGAUCUGCCACAUACUUCCUCAGCAUGGAGACAUGAAACACAUCAUGAACUGCAGAUAAUUGCGGAGGCAAGGCCAAAUGAUAAGCUACAGGGCCAAUCCUUUCAAGAAUCUCAAACGACCCUACAAAACGUGGACUCAACUUCCCUUUCUUCUCGAAUCUUAGAACACCCUUU